RNAcentral lists this RNase P RNA (364 nucleotides) under Bacteroidaceae bacterium. RNAcentral's name for it is "RNase P RNA component class A". It matches the Rfam family "Bacterial RNase P class A". From Rfam's summary of the family: Ribonuclease P (RNase P) is a ubiquitous endoribonuclease, found in archaea, bacteria and eukarya as well as chloroplasts and mitochondria. Its best characterised activity is the generation of mature 5'-ends of tRNAs by cleaving the 5'-leader elements of precursor-tRNAs. The record is from RNAcentral. Lineage: Bacteria; Pseudomonadati; Bacteroidota; Bacteroidia; Bacteroidales; Bacteroidaceae.
ACAGUUGGUCGGCCUGUCGCGUGCAUCUUCGGGAUGCAGGAGGAAAGUCCGGGCAACACAGAGCAUUCCACUUCUUAACGGGAAGCAGUCCGCGAGGGUUGAGUAAAGCAGAAGAGAACAACCGCCUUCCCCAAGGGGGAGGUAAGGGUGAGAAGGUGGGGUAAGAGCCUACCAGUCUUGUGGUGACACAAGGGCUGUGCUUCUUGGAAGUUGAAAGGUCAUGUAAACUGGCGCUAUAAGGGCUGCUCGUCCAAUGCCAGAGGGUGGACCGAUAAAGCCUGUUGGUGACAGCAGGCUCAGAUAAAUGACAGGCACCCCACUUUAGGGUGGGGUACAGAACCCGGCUUACAGACCAACUGUUUUU